This 102-nucleotide small nucleolar RNA is filed under the name Lupinus angustifolius (narrow-leaved blue lupine). RNAcentral describes it as "snoRNA snoZ266". It matches the Rfam family "Small nucleolar RNA Z266". From Rfam's summary of the family: Z266 is a member of the C/D class of snoRNA which contain the C (UGAUGA) and D (CUGA) box motifs. Most of the members of the box C/D family function in directing site-specific 2'-O-methylation of substrate RNAs. The record is from Rfam by way of RNAcentral. Lineage: Eukaryota; Viridiplantae; Streptophyta; Magnoliopsida; Fabales; Fabaceae.
UAGAGGGCAAGAAUGAUGAUUCAAUUAGAUGUGUGAAAGGUGAAUUCCUUUUUGAACUCACAAUUUUGAGGCAUAUCCAUUCAUAUACCUGACUUGCUGCUA